Molecule: long non-coding RNA, 942 nt
Filed under: Capsella rubella
Lineage: Eukaryota; Viridiplantae; Streptophyta; Magnoliopsida; Brassicales; Brassicaceae
Description: long non-coding RNA (CRUB_LNC000436)
Source: RNAcentral
UGGCUGUUGUUUCUAAGAGUUGAGUUGAGAAAAAGAGAAGGAGAAGUUUACUUGUGAGAAGGAGAGUGUUAGCUUUGCUUUGGUGUUUAAGGCGAGAGAAGCAGAUUCGUCACAUCUUGGUAAAAUAGAGUUCCGACGUAUCAAAUCUUAUCGAAAGGUAAUGAAUUUUGGUAAGUUUGUUCUUAAGGCGUGUACGUUGAUUCUCCUUUUUACGGAAGUGAAUUCGGAUUAAUACUCAGUGAGUUAUAUGCAGUUUGGUGAGACGCGUUUUCUAUGUUGCGAACUGGGAUCAGCGGAGUUUGUAAGUACGAUCGUAGUUUCAUCGUUUCUCCGAUCGGCACCAAAUUUUGUGGGGGGCUUUGUGACGUCUGGAUCUUGCUUUUCACCGUAGGGAUUAAGAAGUUAACGGUUAGUUUAUGCUUUAGGGCUUCGUUUCUGCGGUUGUAGUUUUUUUGCUGUUUCUGUCUUUUUGGUUUUUAGAGAUUUUUGUUUGUGUGGUUUGUUGUAGGGCGUUGUUUGGAUGUUGCAGUCGCGAGGAGAGUCUUUCCUGGUUGUUUUUGUAGUUCAAAUCACCUUGUUAAGGUGAGUGCGUGACCAUGAGCUUAUCUAAGCGAUUGGAUUGAGUGAUUUGUUGUGUGAUGAUUUGUAGGUAACUGGAUGUGUUAUUGGAUGUUUAGCUUGCUGGAUGGUUUGUUUUUGUCAUAUAUGUGGGUGUUAUCUCAUUGCUUGUGUAUAUAGCUCGUAGAUGGGAGGAUCGCCCUCACUAAGUAUUUAUGAAAUACUUACGCAUCUCUUUCUUUGAUGUAGGUAAAAGCAAAGUGUGAUCCGUGAAAUCAUGGCGAGGAGAGGAGGAUGAUCUAGGCACUCAUUGGUGUUUUAGAUUAUUGUUGGAUUUGUUAGGGUGUUAGAAUGGAAUUUAGAAACAUGUUAGGAUGACCAUGU